Long non-coding RNA from Vicia villosa (hairy vetch), 446 nucleotides. RefSeq lists it as uncharacterized. The transcript is spliced from 2 exons. Lineage: Eukaryota; Viridiplantae; Streptophyta; Magnoliopsida; Fabales; Fabaceae. The record is from RefSeq and is a predicted model, not a curated record.
AGUAAUUUUAAUUUAAAAAUCAGAUUUUUCAUUCUAUAAAAGUAAUCGUAGAAUUUUGUAUCCUCAUUCAAGAGAAAACAAUGUCUGGAAUUUUAAAAUUUGUUUAUAUUAUGGUUAUUUUUCUUUUCAUAUGUAUCGAUCUGAUGGAUGGAGCUUAUUUAGCUAAUUUUUGCGAUGAGGAUAAAGAUUGCCCUAAAACUAUUUGUCUUCCAAAUGAAGUCACAAAAUGUGUAAGGAUGAUUUGUCAUUGUGUGGAUGGAUAGAAAAGUUGUUUGAAAAAUAAUUUUAUGUGUUUUUUAAGAUUAUGUUUGUAUUUAAAGUUAUAAUUUCUCUCACAGUUUAAUCAAAUGUAUAUUAUAAUAUGGGUCAUGCUAACGGGUGCCCCAGGGGCACUGGUUAAGCAUUUCAAAUUAAGAAAAUAUUUUAGAUUCAAUGCAUUGAAUACA